UCAGAGAGUUUGAUUAUGGCUCAGGACGAACGCUGGCGGCGUGCUUAACACAUGCAAGUCGAACGGGGAUAGUUGAUAGAGAGCUUCGGCAGGAAAUUGAUUAAUUCGAGUGGCGGACGGGUGAGUAACGCGUGAGCAACCUGUCCCAGACAGGGGGAUAACACUUGGAAACAGGUGCUAAUACCGCAUAAGACCACGGGAUCACAUGGUUCCGGGGUAAAAGGAGCAAUCCGGUUUGGGGUGGGCUCGCGUCCGAUUAGCCAGUUGGCGGGUAACGGCCCACCAAAGCGACGAUCGGUAGCCGACCUGAGAGGGUGAACGGCCACAUUGGAACUGAGAGACGGUCCAAACUCCUACGGGAGGCAGCAGUGGGGAAUAUUGGGCAAUGGGCGAAAGCCCUGACCCAGCAACGCCGCGUGAGUGAAGAAGGCCUUCGGGUUGUAAAGCUCUGUUAUAGUUGACGAAGGAAGUGACGGUAGGCUAUAAGGAAGCCCCGGCUAACUACGUGCCAGCCGCCGC
RNAcentral lists this ribosomal RNA (519 nucleotides) under uncultured bacterium. RNAcentral's name for it is "bacterial SSU rRNA". It matches the Rfam family "Bacterial small subunit ribosomal RNA", at positions 1 to 518 of the family's 1533-position model. The record is from RNAcentral.